UGAAAUGAUGAUAUUUUUUGCUAUUCACACUGUUUGAUGACCCUCUACUGGGUUGAUGAAACGGUAAACAAAAAUCUGAUUUAAUGAGGUA
RNAcentral lists this small nucleolar RNA (91 nucleotides) under Dactylellina haptotyla CBS 200.50. The record is from RNAcentral. Lineage: Eukaryota; Fungi; Ascomycota; Orbiliomycetes; Orbiliales; Orbiliaceae.